Brassica napus (rape) is the source of this 6307-nucleotide long non-coding RNA. RefSeq lists it as uncharacterized. The record is from RefSeq and is a predicted model, not a curated record. The transcript has 2 exons. NCBI's taxonomy places the organism in Eukaryota, Viridiplantae, Streptophyta, Magnoliopsida, Brassicales, Brassicaceae.
GGAAGCCAUGUCAUCAAUUUCAGUAGCCAUGUCAUAUUUGUUUUGUGAAAUUGAUAUGACAUAUGGCAAAAUCACUUCGCAAAUAUAGUCUAGGGGAUUUUAAGCUUUUGUUUGACAACAUAAAUAACUGUUAAAAAAAUUUGUGCCGUUUGUAAACAUGGAUAGUAGUAAAUUAGAAAAAAAGAUAAUGGUUUUAUGCUAUUAAAAAAAUUGAAAAUCUAUUACAUUAUAUUAAAAGGUAAUGGAUUUAUAUUACUUAAUAUAUAUAUUCAAAUUAAUCAAAAUAAUAAUGUAAAAUUGAUUUGUAUCAAAAAUUCAUUCAAUAUAUAUAUAUAUAUAUAUUCAAAUUUUGAUUUUUACUAACAUAUUUUCCAUGGUUUUCAAACACAAACCUAAAUUAUGGUUUUUAUAUUCCCAACUUCAAAAAUAUAUCCAAUUUCAAACACCAACUUAAAUUAUGGAUUUUAUAUUUCGCACUGAAAUUUAAAAAUAUAAUAUAUGUGAUUAUUUAUAUGAUUGUACGUAUAAAAUAUUAUUAAUUAUAAGAAAACAUAUUUGAUGGUACAUAUAAAAUACGAUUAAUUAUAUGAUAACACAUAUUUUUGUAACAUCACAUAUAGGAUAUAUAAUAGUGAUUAAGUGUAGACGUUCGGGUUCGUUUUCGGGUCUGUUUAGGAUUUCAUGUUCGGUUCAGAUCUUUGAAGAUUCGGUUCGGAUUUGGAUAAUCAAUUUAAAUUGGGUUGGUUUAAAUAUUUGGAUAGAGAAUUAAUAAUAAUUUAAGUAUUUUUGGAGUUUUGAAUAUAUUUUAACUAUUUUAGAUAUUUAUGUUUGAUUAUUUGUAUAUAUUUUCAAGUAUUUAAACGAACUAAAAAGUAUCAUAUAUAUUCUGAAUAUUUUAUAUAUAUUAAAUCUAAAAAUAAUUAAUAUAUAUAGUAUAUAAAUCUAUUUUGGGAUACCCAAAAUACUGCGGUUCGGAUCGGAUUUGAAUAAUUCAGAUAUUUAAUCAAUUUUGGUUCGGAUUUGGUAUUACUUAUUAAGAUUGGAUCACUUCAAUUCGUCGAAUUCGAGUUUUUUGUCCAACCUUAAAUAGUGACAUAAAAAACAAACAACAUUGUAUUUUCUUUUAAAAAUACAUCCGCGCUAAUGUAGUUAUGAUUACAGCUAAUAGCGGUCGUCUCACUUGUAAAAAUUAUUUCUUUAAGCAAAUCUUGAACUGAGAUAUCUGCUUCGCAAUGGUGGAAUCAUAAACCACCAUCAAAUUCUAUGGAGAGGGCACAAACUUAAGAAAUAGAAAAACGAUGAAAUGUUCUUUCUUCAGACAGCCUGCAAACACCCCAAGUGCUCUCACAAGUUUCUGCACCAAAUAAGUAGAGAGAGAUAACCAAAGGUGAGAGACAGAUUUCGAUGGUAAGACCACCCGCAACGCGGGCUGUUAAGUGAAUCCUUAACAUUAAUCCUUAAGGUAAAGAGAUUAAAAAAAUAUUAAAAUAAUUCGGGAAGUUAAGAAUGAGUCCUUAAUUAAGGGGAUUAAGGACCAAGUCCUUGAUGUGCUGGCACUACGGGAUUGGUUUGGGUUUAGGGUUGUGUUUCGUAAGGGUGAGAAAAAUCUUUCACUUUCGCGAGCAACUUAAAAAAAACACGAGAGGCGAUAGAGCGGCGAUAAGAGAGGCGAUAAGAGAGCGUCUUUGUUGAAGGUAAAUCGGAGCUCUUUGUUCAAUUUCUUUCCUUCUGGAGUGGAUGCAUGUUGAUUUCAUCAGUUUUAAGGCUUCGAUUGUGUGGUUUAAAUAGAUUUAGGGGAUUUUAUCGAAUUAGGGUUUUCGUCUGGGUUUGCUAUUUUCUUCUUCUCGAUUCGCUUGUCUGUUGUUAUCUUCGCGAUUAAAGGUUCGGGAUAGAGUUGAAAUCAAUUAAGGGUUUUCGUCUGGAUUUGAUAAUAUCUUGUUAUAUGUUUUUGAAUGAAAUUCGACUGGGUUUGAUUAUUUGUGGAUUUAGAAUCGCUUAUCUGUUUGGAAUGGUUACAAUCCAGUGAAUCUAAAAUUUUUUUUCUUCUCGCUGGAGGAAGAACUGCGAGAUAUGAAAGCACGCAAAGCACACUACGACAUGCUUCAUUUCCUUCAAGAUGCGCAACAGGGGAUUUCCCAACUGUGCCCCUGUGGAUCAAUCACGAAGGAAUUCGUAGAUGAAUAGGAUGCAUAUGACUACCUCCCUGGGAAAAGAUACUUCAUCUGCAAAGACUACGAGGUUUGAAGUGUUCUGUCUCUUGCUGUUUGAUCAAUUUCUGUUUGACAAAGAAUUUUCUGUGGAUCAAUUGCUGUUUGACAAAGCUUUUUCUGUUUUCGCAGAAUAACGGGCUGCAUUUCAGGCAACCAUUAUGAGUGUGCAACAAGAGGUGGAAAGGCUCAAAAAAUGGGUUCACGACCAUGAGAACCUUCUCAGAGAGUGCGAGGAACUUAAGGUGAGUUUAUAUGUUAUCAGAAUCAAAACAUUGAUAGUUGUUUGUAUGUCAUUCUAACCUAUUGUUUGGUUUCUCUGAUGUUUGUUCAGGCCCAGGUGAGGAUGUUGCUUAUGCGUGUGUCUGAGCUUGAGAGAGUCCUCUGAGGUUAGUGUUUAAACUGACCCGGCUUCUUUAACUGUCUAGUUUAAACUUAGCAGUUAGAAUUGAAACGGAUAGGACUGUCGGUAAUUUUGUAGUUUGAAAACGGAUUUGAUUCCUAUGCUUUGAAAACAAUUACUUUGCAGUUUGUACUUUCCAACUUUGUAGUUAUAAAUGCACACUAAACCACCAUUAAAUUGACCCUAACUGCAUCUUGCAAAGUAAAACUGCAUUUAAUUGUCUCUAGCUAUUCUGAUAUGACAUUUUUCUACUAGGAUUCAAUGUAGAAUCUCUUAUUUAAUCCUCUUCGUUUGUAGUAGAGAAUCACAGAGAGUUCCUCCUAAAUGGCAAGGUCCCCUAGUUUUGUUAACCUCUUAGCGAGUCAAGGGUCAGUUGACCUUGACUCAUUAGAAACUCCUUUGUUUAGUAGCCAAUGUCUUGAAGAGUCUAGUGUCAAAGAAAAAAGGAUGCUGUCGGAAGGUUAGGUCUAUCUCCACUACAAAAGUGUACAGCAGAUCUUCAUAUGCUUGCUUAUGGCUGUGCGGCUGACGCUGUUGACGAAUAUCUCCGACUUGGUGAAAGCACAUCACUUUCGUGUUUAAGCAAUUUCACUGAAGGCGUAAUACAGUGGUUUGGAGCUGAGUAUCUACGGAGACCCACUCCAGAGGAUCUUCAAUGACUACUCGAUAUUGGAGAGAUACACGGUUUUCCUAGGAUGAUAGGAAGCAUCGACUGUAUGCAUUGGGAGUGGAAAAAUUGCUCAACCGCUUGGAAAGGACAGUACACAUGUGGAUCAGGAAAGCCGACCAUUGUCUUGGAGGCUGUAGCUUCACAAGAUCUUUGGAUCAGGAAAGCCGACCAUUGUCUUGGAGGCUGUUACUAACACCAUUGGAGUUGCUCUAAGAAGAAUACAUCAGAUUUUUACGUAAACAACAAAGUCAAGCGCAUCAAUCAAAAAAAAAACAAGAUAUUCAUAUACUACUACAAGGCAUGGACUUGUGAUUUGACAAACCCUAAACCCUUUGAGAAACCCAACAUUCCCAAAUUCGGUUUCAAACAAUUGCUCAAGACAUCAUCAAAUGUACAAAUAUAAGCUCUGACGUACUUUGGUCUCAAAUCAAACAAAGCGAGGAGGAUAUAUUGGACUUUUAGCUGGAAUAGAUUUAGAGGUCGAACUCUGGGUUAAAAAAAGAUAUGAAUAUAGUGCACUAGGGUCGGUCCGCCCUACAGGCGGGAUUUUUGGUAAAUAUGUAACAUAAUUAUUGAUUUUAGUUAUUAAAUCUAAUUAGUUAUAUUAGUAUGCGAGAUGUGGACAUGUGAUUUUUGUUAUUCGCAGUUUAGUAGUAUUCAACUGUAUGGUUUUGUUUGUUUGAUUGUUCUGUUAGAUUGAUUUUGUGAACAUGGGUCCAGUAGAGGGGAUACUUUUGUAUUAACAAUUUUUACGUAAAUUAUUAUCGUUGGUGAUUGAUAUGUGUUGACAAAUGCGAUGUGUAUAAUUUUCUUGGAAGCUGAUGGGUGAGGCAUGUAUUAUUUUAAAAUGUUAUCGUAAUAGCUUAUUUUAAAACGUUGGGGAGCAGAACUUUUAACUUUUCUUCUUAGAUUUGUUAUUUGCUAAUUGUUUUUAUGUCGUAGUUGUUUAGUGUUUUUGUUGGAAACUGUGGUAAUAUGUUUUGUAUUCACUUCUGCGCAUUUCAAGUGUUGUUGCAGUGGCCACCCAAAAUAUGAAAUAAGAGAAUGAGACAGAUGAUUGACCAAAUUAUAUGACAUUGAACCUAUCAUCCAUUCCUUUCUUGCAUGACUUUAUUUUCUUCCGCAAAGCUCAGGAAUUUGUUGUGUUUCCAGUAACAAUACUUGUAGCUUUUUCUGAAACAAUUGAAAAUAUGUAUUUUUUAUACGUGAAAUGGAAUAGGCUUGUUUAAUAACUUUUUGUCUGGCCCUCUUGUAUUUCUUAUAUAUUAUCGUUAGUUGAAUGUUUAUACAUUUAAAGAUGGUUUUAAAUAUUUUCCAGAAGUUUUAUUACUUCACCGUCGCCAAUUCUUCUUCAACCGUGCCUACAGUGGAAAGUUCAGUCAUCACCAAGUUACAACUUUGUAAUAUGUGGUUGAUGUUUCCUACAUUUCCUUAGACGAUAACUGCCUUUGGUUAGCUUUUUGAGCACCUGCAAUUAGUUACAUUGCAGUCACAACCAUUGACAACGUCAAUCUCAAUGACCUGUGUUGCAGAGAGCAACUUACGCCGUCAACCCAGUUACAGCUGGAUUCAAGGGAUCAUCUUCCUUUGUGAGGUCAGUUACAUGAUUCGAGGAUGUUGUGCUUUGUUGGUGCUUGUUAUUCAGACUGGUAAAAAUUAUUUUGUUGUUUUCUGAAUUGUCAAUGGAUUGUCGGGGGUUUUUUUUAAUAUUGGUUUAAGACAUGUAGAAUGAGUAAUGAUUUUAUUUGUUCAACGAAAGAACCAGAGAAAGAUACUAAAUGAAUUAUGUUAAGGAAUAUGACAAUGGUGACGUGUGAUUUCAUAUAAUUCAUUUGUUUUGCUAUGUGUUAAAUUCUAUCUUAAACUCUAACAUGGUUGUCUCUUUCUCAUUCUCAUUAAUUAAUCCCAUAGUUUAAUUAAUUUUGUGAAAUUUUCAGAACAUGUGAAAUAUAUUACGUUUGCGUGCAAACUAUUUAACUGAAAGUUACACAUUAAAUUCGAACACAUAUAAUAUAUUAUUUAUUAUACUAAUGAAGUGAGUCUCACUCUCUUUAACCUCUUAUUUUAUAACAUUUUUUAACUGGCAUUUUUAUUAAAAGAAGCAAAAGUUUCCUUUUUUAACAGAAACGUAUCCAAGUAUUACAGAAUCCAAUAGUGAUUUUUUUUUAAAAAAGCCCACUUCCUUAAUCAUCUUUUGUUUGGGUCCGAAGAAGCCCAGUUCUGAUAUGUUGGUAAGAGAAGGGUUGAUACCCUAGGCCUAGGUCAUGCUUCUUCUUUUUCGUUCAUGUCAAUUCAGAUAAAACAAAAAAAAUUCUUUUCAUAAGGCGGCAUAGGUGUAGCGGGCCACCGGUGUUGUUUGUAGUCUCCGACUUUACGAAUCAUAUUGGUGGGGUCAGAUCUGAGACAUGUAACCCAAGCCUUCUGCAGUGUCUCUUCUGUAGAUCAUGGCAGUUCGGGUUUCUUCGAACUUGUAGCGUGGUGAUGGAGGUUAAUCGGUGAUGAGACGCGCCGUAGGUGGUGGGAUCUGCUUCAGAUAUGAACCGUCUGGCCUCCCAAUACCUGAACAGCCAAACCUCGACGGUGAUGGUACAAAGGCCGGUUUUCAAUUCAGCGAGGAAAAAAGCGGAGUUACCAUUUUUAUCUCUACAAUUUUUAAAUGUGAUGUCGUUCGUCGGUAAGAAGAAGACUCUUCGAUUAAAGGUUUACACUGGUUACAAAAAAAAAAGCAUUUAUUGAGGUAUCAAGAGAAGCACACGUGUCAGCUUGAGGUUACUCGAUUUUCUGAUGUGGAUGCUGAUGUGUUUUAAGCAGGAGAGAUCAAACUCUAUUUUCUAUAAAUAGAUUGUCUCCUUAACGUUAUGGUUAUUGUAGAGUUUAAUCUAUUACUUCUCCCUGAUGCUUUAGUUUUUCGGAGAGCCCUACUUGCCUGUCUGUUCUUGGCUAAGUUUAGUUGCGACAACGCAGACGGUUACAGGGAAUAUUUUUUGUAGGUGUAUCAAGAAAUGGCAAGUUUGGAAUUGUGAGUAA